UACGUAGGGUGCAAGCGUUAAUCGGAAUUACUGGGCGUAAAGCGUGCGCAGGCGGUUAUAUAAGACAGUUGUGAAAUCCCCGGGCUCAACCUGGGAACUGCAUCUGUGACUGUAUAGCUAGAGUACGGUAGAGGGGAUGGAAUUCCGCGUGUAGCAGUGAAAUGCGUAGAUAUGCGGAGGAACACCGAUGGCGAAGGCAAUCCCUGGACCUGUACUGACGCUCAUGCACGAAGCGUGGGAGCAACAGG
This 248-nucleotide ribosomal RNA is filed under the name uncultured bacterium. RNAcentral's name for it is "partial 16S ribosomal RNA". It matches the Rfam family "Bacterial small subunit ribosomal RNA", at positions 524 to 776 of the family's 1533-position model. The record is from RNAcentral.